AGCAGUUGAAACACCACACUCACACACCCCUUACAUGCAAGCCCUGAAACAAAAGACCCCAAACAGUAACACAGACAGAAAUGGUCACUCUCUAAGUAAAAUAGCCAGGCGGCCCUUAAUCCCAGCAUUCAGGAGACAGAGGCUGGCAGAUCUCUGAGUUGGAGGCUAGCCUGGUCUACAGAGCUAAUUCCUUGACAGCCAGAGCAACUCAGGGAAACCCGGUCUCCAAAAUCCAAAACCCAGAAACAAACAAAAAACAACAAGGUAAGGCCGUCACUCUACACACCCGCAGUGACUCCAAGUCUGGUGUCACACACUCAAACUUGUAAGGAUGUAAUUUCAAAUUCAGAACCUCAGUAAGCUGACAGAAGCCAACCCCCGUUGGUGCGCACGCGCAAUGGUGUGCCGCAAUAGUAAUGCACAUACCACACACGCAGGCAUUCCAUCACUGUCACGCCCUUGCAGAGCCUUACCAUCGCCUCUCACAGACCAACCCACACCCGGGAACUCGCCUGGGACAGCUUACAGUUCCCUGCGCUCUCGCGCUUGCCGCACAUCUUGAAGCACAAGCGCAAAGUGGAAAGGGUUGCGCCGCAAAGCACUCUGGGGCUGGUAGUUCUCGGGUCGGAUUCAGCAGCUAGUUGAGAGCACCGGGGGCAGGCGUCAGCCCUCCCGCUCGCACGCGGGGACGUCACGGGCCUGGAUCACAGAGCGUGUUUCCAUAGCCUGUGGCACCGGGAGUACCCUGGGAGGCCAGAGGACGGUGUUAGAUCCCCUGGAACUGGAAUUACAGAUGGUUCUGAGCCACCAUGUGGAUGCUGGGAAUAGAACCCUGGUUUUCUGGAAGGGCAGCCAGUGCUCUGUCUGUUGAUUCAUCUCUCAGACACCUACUUCGUGCUUCCAAUUAAAAAUCGUUUUGUUUCCUGCUCCCCAACACACAUAUUUUGAGGGUUAAAAACAGGAGGAUGUUGGAGAGAAUUAUCUCUGGAACUAGGGAAUUUUAGGUCAUGGAGGUUUGAUAUGGACGUUUCCCUUCAGUCUGAAUUACGGAAUGGAGUCAAAGACAUUGUCGUGAGAACAUACUGAAACUGGUUUCUUUCAGGGAAGGAAAGUCCAUCUUCUUCCUUGUAAGGUCACUGAGUUGGACAUCUUAGUUUGUCCAUGUCAAAAAUUAUGUCAUUUUUGGUACUGAGACUUAGUCUAUAAUUCUUUUAAUGGUGAACCAAGUAAGCUAAGUUUUUGGUUUUGACUUUUGCAUUUAAUAAAGAAAAAUGUUCUCAUUUCAUUUUCAACUGUGAAAAUAGAAUACAAACAAUAAAAGAUACUGUGCACUAAG
This is a long non-coding RNA of Peromyscus californicus insignis, 1336 nucleotides long. RefSeq lists it as uncharacterized. NCBI's taxonomy places the organism in Eukaryota, Metazoa, Chordata, Mammalia, Rodentia, Cricetidae. The transcript is spliced from 2 exons. The record is from RefSeq and is a predicted model, not a curated record.